Molecule: long non-coding RNA, 3491 nt
Organism: Oncorhynchus tshawytscha (Chinook salmon)
Lineage: Eukaryota; Metazoa; Chordata; Actinopteri; Salmoniformes; Salmonidae
Source: Ensembl
GCCUGCAUCUGCUAUGGAUCCGCGGUCAAAUGGCCACCCCUCAUCACUGUCAAGCUCCCUAAAACACUUCUGCGAGCAGGCCUUUGUAAUCGACCUGGCCCGGUUGUCCCGGAAGGAUAUUAACCUCAUCCCGUUGGUAGAGUAUGCCUGGUCGUUCUUUAAAAGUGCUUUCCUCACCAUCUUAAAUAAGCAUGCCAUUUUUAAAAAAACAUGUAGAACUAAGAACAGAUAUAGUCCUUGGUUCACUCCAGACCUGACUGCCCUCGACCAGCACAAAAACAUCCUGUGUCGGACUGCGACAGCAUCGAAUAGUCCCUGCGAUAUGCAACUUUUCAAGGAAGUCAGGAACCAAUACACGCAGUCAGUCAGGAAAGCAAAGGCUAGCUUUUUCAAACAGAAAUUUGCAUGCGGGUAAUUCCCUGAUCCACCUCUACACAGACAACACCAUUCUGUGUACAUCUGGCCCUUCUUUGGACACUUUGUUAACAAACCUCCAAACAAGAUUCAAUGCCAUACAACAGUCCUGCCGUGGCCUCCAACUGUUCUUAAACGCUAGUAAAUCUAACUGCAUUGUAUCAUUUGAUUUACACAACACUUUGAAGAAGCAAAAUAUUUUUUAUUGUUAAACAAACAAGAAAUAAGACAAAAAAACUGAAAGCUUAAGCAUGCAUGCGUGCAUCAAUACUUUGUAGAGCCACCUUUUGCAGCAAUUACAGCUGCAAGUCUCUUGGGGUAUGUCUCUAUAAGCUUGACACGCCUAGCCACUGGGAUUUUUGCCCAUUCUUCAAGACAAAACUGCUCGAGCUCCUUCAAGUUGGAUGGGUUCCAAUGGUGUACAGAAAUCUUUGUCAUACCACAGAUUCUCAAUUGGAAUGAGGUCUGGGCUUUGACUAGGCCAUUAAAAUACAUUUAAAUCUUCCCCUUAAACCAUUUGAGUGAUGCUUUAGCAGUAUGCUUAGGGUCAUUUUCCUGCUGGAAGGUGAACCUCUGUCCCAGUUUCAAAUCUCUGGAAGACUGAAACAGGUUUCCCUCAAGAAUUUCCCUGUAUUUAGCGCCAUCCAUCAUUCGUUCAAUUCUGACCAGUUUUGCAGUCCCUGCCGAUGAAAAACAUCCCCACAGCAUGAUGCUGCCAUCACCAUGCUUCACUGGGGAUGGUGUUCUCGGGGUGAUGCGAGGGUGAUGACCACUCUUCCCUAAAGCCCAGUUCUGUGGAGUGUACGGCUUAACGUGGUCCUAUGGACAGAUACUCCAAUCUCCGCUGUGGAGCUUUGCAGCUCCUUCAGGGUUAUCUUUGGUCUCUUUGUUGCCUCUCUGAUUAAUCCCCUCCUUGCCUGGUCCGUGAGUUUUGGUGGGCGGCCCUCUCUUGGCAGGUUUGUUGUAGUGCUAUAUUCUAUCUUUUUUUAUAAUGGAUUUAAUGGUGCUCCGUGGGAUGUUCAAAGUUUCAGAUAUGUUUUAAUAACCCAACCCUGAUCUGUACUUCUCCACAACUUUGUCCCUGACCUGUUUGGAGAGAUUAUUGGUCUUCAUGGUGCCGCUUGCUUGGUGGUGCCCUUUGAUUAGUGGUGUUGCAGACUCUGGGGCCUUUCAGAACAGGUAUAUAUAUACUGAGAUCAUGUGACACUUAGAUUGCACACAGGUGGACAUUAUUUAACUAAUUAUGUGACUUCUGAAGGUAUUUGGUUGCAUCAGAUCUUAUUUAGGGGCUUCAUAGCAAAAGGGGUGAAUACAUAUGCUUGCACCACUUUUCCAUUAAUUAAUUUUUUGCAUUUUUUGAAACAAGUUACAUUUUCAUUUCACUUCACCAAUUUGGACUAUUUUGUGUAUGUUCAUUUCAUGAAAUCCAUAUAAAUAUCUAUUUCAAUUACAUGUUGUAAUGCAACAAAAUAGUUAAAACGCCAAGGGGAAUGAAUACUUUUGCAAGGCACUGUAAAUAGCCUCUAAAAUAUAGGUGAACAGAUCAUAAAUGUCCCAAAAAUAUAUAUUGGAAAGCUUUGAGUGCUAUAAUAUGAUACGAUAUCCAGUGCUUGACAUGGAUUUUUGGUGCCACUACUGUUUAUGUUUAGGUGCAGGAGCUCCACAAUACCUUUGAGCUAAUAUUCUAGAAGAGGAACAGGAGUUCAAGCAGUAGAAAAUUUGAGGUGCCGGUACUCAGCUCCGGUGAGCUCCUGCUCAAGUCAAGCACUGAAAAUAUCAGUACUUGUUUUAUUUACAACUUGUCUAUCAUCAACUGAUUUCAGCCAGUGUUCCUCUAAAACUGUCUAGCUAGCUAGUUAACAAACAUACAGUGCAGAUCAAUAUUUUAAAUUAAUUAUUUUACACAAUAUCUUAUCACAGGACUGACAACCUGGUUGACCAACUCCUUGACCUAAAUGGCUGAUCUUUAUCCCAUCAUAAGAUGGUUCAUGUCUAUUCUUGUAUUCUAAUUCCUAAUUCUAUGUCCCUCUACCUCCUCUUCCUCCAUCUGUAAGACCCUGACCACCCAGAGCACAGCUUCUGUGGCCCUGCUAGCCCCCUCUAGAUCUCCACACUUCACCCCUCAAGUCAACCCUCCUCCAUCCUGUCCAUCCUCUCCCACUACAGAAACCUGUAGCCAUGCCCGCUACGAUUCCAAUGAAUUAUCAGCUAAGGAAGAAGCGUUGCCUCCCACAGAGAGACCAACUAUCACCCAAGACAUGGCUAUCACUCAGAGAGCGAAAGUUAAAAAGGCCUGAGGAGGUGGCUCCAGCCCCAGCCCCAACCUCACCUGAACCAGCCUCACCUCUAUCUCCCCCACCCUCACCUAUGUUAGUUAGCCAAAGCCUCAUCUAUGAUGUCGGCCCCAUCUUGUCUUGGGUCACCUGUGUUGGCUCGAUCCCCACCUGUGUCUGCGCUUGUCCCCUCUGAACCUCCGGAGCAGCCAGAUGAGGAAUCCACCACUCCCCCUGAUCUCCCUUCCCCAUCGUACAUAUUUAUAGGUCAGAGGUCAAGUGCCUGUCAAAAUGGAUGGGAUGUUGGCGAUCAAGUUGAAACAAGGCGGAAACAAAGGUUUGGACAACUGGGAUACUGUCUAUGGAGUACUGGAGAGGGAGACACAAAGACAGGGUUGCUGUUCAAAGACAAGGAUGCAGCUACAGGGAUAUCUUACAAUUUAAGUGAAUGUAUUAGCUAUCUUUUCAGGUUUAGGAAUUAGGUACAGUAUGUUACUUGUUGGUGCCCUUUUGCGGAGGUUUACCUGAUGGCCACCGAUCAAUAUAGUAUUUAAGGAUGACCCAGAUUACAGGAGAAAUGACCAUAUCUUCAAACUAAUGUGAGUCCUUUACAUUACUAAAAGAUCAUUUAUGCUUAAAGUGGCAAUCUAAGUACUGUAGCAUUGAUGCUAUGUUAGAAGUUUGAGGACAUUGUAAUAAAGUAUACAGAGACUGAUGCACCUCUGACAAAAUGUCUGUGACUGUCUGUUUUGCUGCCUGUGAAUGUUCUUCAGUCUGGAUGAUGGCAGUCACUACCUGCCUCCA